RNAcentral lists this ribosomal RNA (176 nucleotides) under Amanita sp. 'maryaliceae'. RNAcentral describes it as "partial 28S ribosomal RNA". It matches the Rfam family "Eukaryotic large subunit ribosomal RNA", at positions 1 to 173 of the family's 3401-position model. Lineage: Eukaryota; Fungi; Basidiomycota; Agaricomycetes; Agaricales; Amanitaceae. The record is from RNAcentral.
UUGACCUCAAAUCAGGUAGGACUACCCGCUGAACUUAAGCAUAUCAAUAAGCGGAGGAAAAGAAACUAACAAGGAUUCCCUUAGUAACUGCGAGUGAAGAGGGAAAAGCUCAAAUUUAAAAUCUGGCAGUGUUUCACUGUCCGAGUUGUAACCUAGAGAAGUGUAACCUGCACUGA